AUGGGCAAAUGUUUGUUUAAUGACAAGUGGUUGGAGGACGAAAAGUAUCGGGGGUGGCUGAAGAAAACAGCCAGUAAUCAUGAAGCGAGGUGUGCUUUAUGUAAAAAGACGAUAAAGCUGGGGACAAUGGGCCACAUAGCGCUCGAUUCACACAUGAAAGCAGAGAAGCACAAGAAGUGUGUGUCGUCGCAAGCAAGUAGUUUGCCCAUAAGUAUGUUCUCAUCGAGCACUUCGACCUCUCAGCCUUCCACUUCAAGCAAUGCCUUCGGCAGCUUUGCGAAUGUAGCUACACUUAAGGCCGAAAUACUGUGGGUAUUUCAAACCGUAAGCCGCCACAACUCGUACACCUCAAAUGAGGACAUCCACCUAGUUUUUCAAGCAAUGUUCCCUGACUCAGAGUGUGCGAGUACGUUCACAUGUGGAAGGGAUAAAACCGCAUAUUUAGCACGAUUUGGUGUUGCCCCAUACAUAAAGAAGGAACUCAUUUCACGGGCAAACAAGGAUGCUUUCAUCAUAAUGUUCGAUGAGUCCAUGAACACAACAACGAAAACUAAACAGUUGGACUUGCACGUCAGAUGUUGGUCAACUGACGAGACCGGGACCCCGAUUGUCAGGUCUCGCUAUCUGGGUUCUCAGUUUUUGGGCCACUCAACGGCAGAAGACUUGCUGGAACAUUUUAAGGAGGGCACCAAGGAACUUAAUUUACGGAACUUGCUUUCUGUAUCAAUGGAUGGACCUGCAGUCAAUUGGAAAUUCAUGGAUCUCCUACAAUUGGAACAUGGAGAACAGUUUGGGGGGAUUCAACUCCAAGUGGUAGGAAGCUGUGGUAUCCACACCCUACACAAUUCAUUUAAAGGUGGAUUUGAGGUGUGGCAUGUAGAAAAGGUGCUGAGAUCUCUCCACUGUCUCUUCAAUAAUGCCCCAGCAAGAAGAGAGGAUUUCACAUCUGCAACACUGUCGUCCACAUUCCCCUUAUCCUUCUGUGGCCAUCGCUGGCUCGAAAAUGUGCCUGCUGCAGAGAGGGCCAUUGAAAUUUGGCCCUCUAUUGAGAAGUUUGUUGACCAAGUGUCAACAAAGAAGGUGAAGAACCCAGGAAAUGCAUCAUUCGACACCCUCUCUGAGGCAAGAAAGGAUCCUCUUAUCUGUGCCAAACUCCACUUCUUUGUGUUCAUAGCAAGAGUCUUUCAACCAUUUCUGGAAAAAUAUCAAAAAGAUGCUCCCAUGAUGCCCUUCCUGUGGAAUGACUUGGAGGAUUUGAUAAGGAGCCUUCUCAAACGAUUCAUCAAGCGUGAUGCUUUGCCCUCGAGUCCAUAUAAGCUGGUGAGGCUCGAUGUCACAGACCAGAAGCUUUGGCUUGGCACAAAAGAUGUUGACAUUGGCAUGGGUGCAGCAGCUGUUAUCAAGGGACUGUCAGGGGCCAAGGGCAGAGUAAGCGAGCUUGGUGUGCUGCAGUUUAAAAAAGAAUGCCAGAAUGCACUUUCAAAAAUAUGCAAGAAGGCACUGGAUAAGUGCCCUCUAAAAUAUGCCACUGUCCAUAACAUGAUGUGCCUGGAGUCCUGGACCCAAGAAAAAUGUAUUCCAGCCCUGACGAAUGCCUACAGAAACUGA
Long non-coding RNA from Carassius auratus (goldfish), 1608 nucleotides. The record is from Ensembl. Lineage: Eukaryota; Metazoa; Chordata; Actinopteri; Cypriniformes; Cyprinidae.